UAAAUAAACUUAAUAGAGCAAACUACAAAUAAAAAUUGUAAUUUUCUCUAUGUAGAUUCCUUACACUCCUAUUUAUCUGUAGGUACUUUGUUUGUUGUUGCAGGAGUACAGUUUCUCAUGAUUUCCUGUCCUUCCCUCAGCUCCACAUUCCCUAGGAAGGACCCCACAGGAAGGAAGAAGGCGAUGGCUGCAGGGCCUCUGCCUUUGGAAGCUCAGGUGACACAUCUUUUUCUCUCAAACCUCUUUCUUAUUCUCAUACUGUGUGUGGGAUUCAUUACACAGGACAAAGGUAUUGCCGAUCAGAAUGUUGAGGAGUUUUUGCAAAGCCUCCCUCAGUGUCCCUCUGUUCUCAGGCCACUGAUACCCUGUCCUGCUGGGUUCUUGAUGGUGUUCAAGGAUCAGAAAAGGAACAAAAAUCAUAGAGAAAUGGUCCUUGUGUUUAUACGGCUUAUGGGCUCUCAGGUAUUAUAAAAGAGGACACAUCUGUACAGGAUACAAUUAUAAGGAUUAAACAUGAAAAUAAUGAUAAGAUCAAGUAUGGUUAUGUUCCCAGAUUAUUGGUGUUCCAGAGUCUGGAGAAGAGAAAUAUCAGGGUAGAGAUUAGGAGAAGUAGGGGGUGUUUGCCCAUCUAAAGGGUUGAAAAUGGAUAAAUGUUGAGGAUCUGCUAUAUAACGGAGUUGGAGUGUCCAAUAUUAAAUCCUGACCCUACUAUUUAAUAUCUGCAUUGCCUUAGGCAAGUGACUUGACUUCCUUAAAGCAUCACUUCUUCAUAUUGAUGACAGAAAUAACAGCAUUAACUGAAUUUCUGCCAUACAUCUGGCAUUGUUAAGAAUUACCUAUGGCUCAUCUCAUUUACUUCAUCGGUUUUCUCAAAGCUCAAAUAAGAUAAUGCAAGUGAAAAGAGCCUUAGCUUGGUUCCUGUAAUGUUGAAGGUAUUUGGUAAUUGCUAGGCAUCCUUAGUAUUAGUCCAGCCAAGAACUUGGUAGUUUAGAGUUUCACUGGUGGGGUGAGGGUAGCAGUCACUGAUAGUGAGACAUGCUUGACUGGCAUAGAGGGAAUCCAAUGCCCUAUUUGGAGUCAAGCGGAAAGAGGAGCUUGCAUGUAUGUUGACCUGGCAGGCCUGGGGAUGGAAGAGGUACCUGGGAGAUCAGUCUGAGGAAUUUUGUUAAGAGACUUGGCAUGAUAAAAGUUUUUCUAGCCAGGUGAGGUGGUGCAUGCCUAUAAAUCCAACAGCUUGGGAGGCUCAGGCAGGAGGAUCCUGAAUUCGGAGCCAGCCUCAGCAACUUAACGAGGUCUUAAAGCAACUCAGUGAGACCCCAUCUCUAAAUAAAAAAUAAAAAAGGGUUGGGGAAGUGCUCACUGGUUAAGCACCACUGGGUUCAAUCUUUGAUACCAAAAAAAAAAUAAAAAUGAAAAAUUGUGUAGGAAAAAAAGCAGUGUUAAUCAGAAAGAGGAAACCAUGAAAUUGAAAUCAGAAGUGAGGAGCCCUGACUUAUUACUUGAAAUUAGAACCUGCUAGUUUUCCUGGAAUCUGUAGUUGUUGCUUUUGUGGUAGAGCACUUGCCUAGCCCAUGUGCAAGGCCCUGAGUUCAAUCCCCAGCACCAUGGAAAACAAACAAAAACCAUAAAGCAAUAAUGAAUAUUAGAGAAGGGAGUUUUCUAGAAGAGGGGAAUGUUGAAUAUUAGAGAAGGGAGUUUUCUAGAAGAGGGGAAUGUUUAUGUGGGUCAUCUGGAAGAUUCUGGUUAAUGAAGAUUGUAAUUUGGUUAUCAGUAGCCUGGAUUUGAUUUGCUGUUUAAUGUUAAUUAAGGGUGGCACACGCUUGUAGUUCCAGCGGCUUAGGAAGCUGAGACAGGAAGAUGCUGAGUUCAAAGCCAUCCUCAGCAACUCAGCAAGGCCCUGAGCAACUCAGCAAUAAAAUAUAAAAAAUGGCUGGGAAUGUUGCUCAGUGAUUAAACAACCCUGGGUUCAAUCCCUGCUACCAAAAUAAUAGUAGUAGUAAUAAUAAUAAUGUUACUUGAAAUUUUUCAGUGUUAAAAUUUUAAAUCCACUUUUUUGAGAUAUAAUGAAUAUAAAAUAACCCACUUAAAGCAUUAAAUUAUUU
Molecule: long non-coding RNA, 2102 nt
Filed under: Marmota monax (woodchuck)
Lineage: Eukaryota; Metazoa; Chordata; Mammalia; Rodentia; Sciuridae
Source: RNAcentral